CCUCUUGCACCGAUCAUUUUAUCAAAAGCUGCUGUACGAACACCUCAUCAUGUACUUGGUCAAAGUGGUUCUCCUGCUUCUAAUGUUUCCAGGCUCGUUCUGUUGGGCAUGUAAGUGGGGAUACGAGAAAAGAGCCAACAGCUACACAGAAGGACAGUGGGGACAACCUUGCUACAUGUGCCAACAACCAGCAAGUGGAGGUGACCUUGGUGAUCAUUACUUUGCAUGUAAUUUUGGCCUCAAAUGUGUGGAUACUUAUGUAAAAGACGGCAGGUACACGGUGGAGGACCACACAUGUCGGUCAAUUCUUUCUAUCUUUUAAUUCCGUCACCAAAAGAAAUCUAGGCGGUCUUUGGCCGCGCCAACAAUGUGCCUCCAGGAUCCUCUGUCUUCUGCCAGCUCCAGGUCUGCUCCCAUUCUUUUUAGAUCAUUCGUAACCUUGUCAAUUUAUCGCAUCCUUGGUCUUCCCACUGGUCUCCUGCCCUCCAGAGUACCCCUUAGCACCUGUUUUACAUCCUUCUCUCAGUUCUGCAUUGAAUGUGGCCCAGCCAACUCACCCUGUACUCUUUUCCACUCCCACAAUAUCUGGUACUCUAUAAUUAUAGAUAACAUAUGUCGGUGUAAGAAAUACUAAAACUGAGCUGUAAACUAUUUUUGACAACCACAAUAAAUAAGAUUUCAGAAGA
This is a long non-coding RNA of Macrosteles quadrilineatus (aster leafhopper), 686 nucleotides long. RefSeq lists it as uncharacterized. The transcript has 2 exons. The record is from RefSeq and is a predicted model, not a curated record. NCBI's taxonomy places the organism in Eukaryota, Metazoa, Arthropoda, Insecta, Hemiptera, Cicadellidae.